This is a long non-coding RNA of Micropterus dolomieu (smallmouth bass), 1205 nucleotides long. RefSeq lists it as uncharacterized. The transcript has 4 exons. The record is from RefSeq and is a predicted model, not a curated record. NCBI's taxonomy places the organism in Eukaryota, Metazoa, Chordata, Actinopteri, Centrarchiformes, Centrarchidae.
UUAUUCUUCAUGUGCACCUAAACGCAAUCACAGUCCAAAGAUGUUCUCACCUACAUGUGAAACACACACUGAUUGACAUGCAGCCUUCUAAUCUCUUCUCCCUUACAGGAUGUCGCGAAGCAACCCAGACAGCUGCAGGACGAGCUGCUGAGGUUAAAGAAUAGGAUGUACUACCUGCUUUGGCAAGCAGACACUUUGCCCAACUUUGCUUUGGAGUCUCAAGGGGCCAGUGGUCUAUUCCGGCUAUCUUCAAAAAAGUACCAGACAUAGGAGGCAGGACAGACAUUUUUUAGGGAUGCCUAUCUGGCGACCACCUGUUAUUCAGGUACACUCCCCCUGGUCCUAGGAAGAUGCUGAGCCUUUGAAGGUGGGCGUGGACAUUUAGUCAUCGCCCUGUCCCACCCAGAUCCAUGAGAAGCUGGCAGGCUGAAGACUGAAAUAAAGGAGAAGACAGAAGACCAACAUCUGGGUGCAGAGCAGUGGGUAAGUAUAAGCAGAGAGGUGAGUAUAUGUGAAGGGGAAUCAGACUCCACACAUCUAAAAUAUUAACAAAUGUGUGCUUCUUUUAUGGGCGGGAAACCAGUGAGGUAUGAUGCACUCCUAUUGGUUGGGUGGGGCACCUGUGCAGAGGUUGUGAACCUCGGUACCCUCCCCUCUGCCAGGUGAAAUUAAGCUGAAGAAGGAUCCAUUUGGAUCACAGUAGAUAUGUGGCUGCCAUAAUUUCUUCUACCUGUGCCCAGAUGUUUUCAGUCUGAUUGACCGUCACUGUGCGCCGCACGGGAUAGACUGUUGUUCAGUUCUGGCUCUGGUUCUCUCUCCGUAUAUGCGUGGAUUUACUCCGGGUGCUUCAGUUUCAUCUCACACUCCAAAGACUUGCAGAUUAGGUUAAUUGGAGGUAUGCAUUGUUUAAGACUUUUUUAUUUACUACAUGUUUUUAAUAAUGUUUCUGCUUGUUUUGUUAUUUAUUUGAAAUCCUUAAUAUAUAUAAAACAUCAUAAUAACAUCAUUCCUCCAUCUUACAAAAGCACACCCAGGUGAAAAAGAAAUAUACUUAAGUUUGUUCGUUGAAGACACAUUGCAUUUUCUGCGAAUGAGGACUUGCACAGUAGACACUGGGGUAUUUGCUGCUUUAUCACAGCAUCUGUGAAAGGGAAGAAAAGUAUUUUGUUUAAUGUAAAAGCAAAAUUACACUUUAAUUAACUAAC